UCGUCUUCUAUGUAUAAUGUUCACUACAAAUCUGUAAAAUUACUUAUGCUGAACUUUCUUCGUCUUUGCAAUGCAAGCAUAAUAACACGUCUUGCAUGGCAGGGCAUAGGUUACAAUAAAGAAUUGAUUAAUAUUUUUUUACAACUACAUUGCUUCAUGAAUAUAUUUUUAAUAUAUUCUUUAUUCUAUUUUAGAAUCGUAAUCUUGUUUAUAAGCACCCAAAUGCGGGCGUAAGUUGGCUUUUAUCGCACAAAUCUGUCAAAAAUUGCUGAUUGUUCAUUUACACUAAUCAAUUAAUUAUUCAAACACGCUUCGAUAUUCAACGUUUUUUUUUAAGUUGGAAAAAUAAUAUUUUAUCAAAUCAUUACCUGACCGACUUCAAAUUCUUCUAAACUUUCUUUUGAUUCUGUAUUUAUUUAAAAAUUAAUUUUUCUUUAAAGUUUUUUGACGUUCAUCACAUUUGCACUGAACUCGUAUCUAAGGUGAUUCAUCAACAGUUUUGUUCGUAAAAAAAUGUUUCAAAAUGAGUUCUCGUUUUGGGCAAAAUUCUGGGCAAGUGAUAGACGCCGCAGUAAAUAAACUAACUCCAGUGAAUACAAAAAAGUCCUGAGAUUCUGCAUGGAAACAGUUUCAAUAAUUUUGCGAUGAAAGAAAAUAUACUCUGAACAAUAAGGAAACUACCGUAUCCGAAUUGGUUCUAAUUCUAAAAGAUUUCGCUUUCAACAUGAGGCGCAAUGAUGGAGAAGAGUAUAAGGAAGGUGUUGUGAAGACUCUUUGGAAUAUUUAAGGCUUUUCAAAUUGUUGAAACAAAAAAGGGGAAAACAUAUUACGGUCGAACGCCUUUUCUUAAUUGUAAACUCAUCAUGGAUGAAAGAAAAAUCAAAACGUUUUUUCAAAAAUUGUCCAUUAGGAAGAAAUCAAAUUUCGAAGUGGACAAGACAGGCAGCAGAAGCUAUAGGAAUGGACGCGAAAAGAAUAAUAAGUGAUGAAAGCAGCAUGAAAAGCCCAUCAUCAUUAGUAUCCAGUAAAAUUUUAUAUUCAAAUUGUAGUUUCUAUACUUGUUCUUUUUCUUAAAAUAAAAAUUUAAAACUAAA
Zophobas morio is the source of this 1094-nucleotide long non-coding RNA. RefSeq lists it as uncharacterized. The transcript has 2 exons. The record is from RefSeq and is a predicted model, not a curated record. NCBI's taxonomy places the organism in Eukaryota, Metazoa, Arthropoda, Insecta, Coleoptera, Tenebrionidae.